AAUUAACGCUGGCGGCAUGCCUAACACAUGCAAGUCGCACGAGAAAGCCCGGUUCGCCGGGCGAGUAAAGUGGCGCACGGGUGAGUAACGCGUGGAUAAUCUACCUCGUUCUGGGGGAUAACCCAUCGAAAGGUGGGCUAAUACCGCAUAAUCCGGCUGAAUCGCGGUUUGGUCGGCAAAGGUGGCCUCUUCAUGAAAGCUACCGGGAAGAGAUGAGUCCGCGUCCCAUUAGCUUGUUGGUAGGGUAACGGCCUACCAAGGCGACGAUGGGUAGCUGGUCUGAGAGGACGAUCAGCCACACUGGAACUGGUACACGGUCCAGACUCCUACGGGAGGCAGCAGUGAGGAAUAUUGCGCAAUGGGGGAAACCCUGACGCAGCGAUGCCGCGUGGGUGAAGAAGGCCUUCGGGUCGUAAAGCCCUGUCAAGUGGGAAGAACAGCCUUGGGGCUAAUAUCUCCAGGGUGUGACGGUACCACUGAAGGAAGCACCGGCUAACUCCGUGC
This 504-nucleotide ribosomal RNA is filed under the name delta proteobacterium enrichment culture clone G3_G2. RNAcentral describes it as "bacterial SSU rRNA". It matches the Rfam family "Bacterial small subunit ribosomal RNA", at positions 29 to 508 of the family's 1533-position model. Lineage: Bacteria; Deltaproteobacteria. The record is from RNAcentral. RNAcentral also lists the same sequence under 1 other name.